Molecule: ribosomal RNA, 407 nt
Filed under: uncultured Acetobacter sp.
Lineage: Bacteria; Pseudomonadati; Pseudomonadota; Alphaproteobacteria; Acetobacterales; Acetobacteraceae
Description: bacterial SSU rRNA
Rfam family: Bacterial small subunit ribosomal RNA
Source: RNAcentral
UGGGGAAUAUUGGACAAUGGGGCAACCCUGAUCCAGCAAUGCCGCGUGUGUGAAGAAGGUUUUCGGAUUGUAAAGCACUUUCGACGGGGACGAUGAUGACGGUACCCGUAGAAGAAGCCCCGGCUAACUUCGUGCCAGCAGCCGCGGUAAUACGAAGGGGCGUAGCGUUGCUCGGAAUGACUGGGCGUAAAGGGCGUGUAGGCGGUUUGUACAGUCAGAUGUGAAAUCCCCGGCGUUAAUCCACUGGGAGCUGCAUUUGAUACGUGCAGACUAGAGUGUGAGAGAGGGUUGUGGAAUUCCCAGUGUAGAGGUGAAAUUCGUAGAUAUUGGGAAGAACACCGGUGGCGAAGGCGGCAACCUUGGCUUCAUAACUGACGCUGAGGCGCGAAAGCGUGGGGAGCAAAACA